This 279-nucleotide ribosomal RNA is filed under the name uncultured Staphylococcus sp. RNAcentral's name for it is "partial 16S ribosomal RNA". It matches the Rfam family "Bacterial small subunit ribosomal RNA", at positions 83 to 355 of the family's 1533-position model. Lineage: Bacteria; Bacillati; Bacillota; Bacilli; Caryophanales; Staphylococcaceae. The record is from RNAcentral.
CCUUUGACGUUAGCGGCGGACGGGUGAGUAACACGUGGGUAACCUACCUAUAAGACUGGGAUAACUUCGGGAAACCGGAGCUAAUACCGGAUAAUAUUUAGAACCGCAUGGUUCGAUAGUGAAAGGUGGUUUUGCUAUCACUUAUAGAUGGACCCGCGCCGUAUUAGCUAGUUGGUAAGGUAACGGCUUACCAAGGCGACGAUACGUAGCCGACCUGAGAGGGUGAUCGGCCACACUGGAACUGAGACACGGUCCAGACUCCUACGGGAGGCAGCAGCC